Molecule: ribosomal RNA, 427 nt
Filed under: Staphylococcus aureus
Lineage: Bacteria; Bacillati; Bacillota; Bacilli; Caryophanales; Staphylococcaceae
Description: partial 23S ribosomal RNA
Rfam family: Bacterial large subunit ribosomal RNA
Source: RNAcentral
UUCACAUCGACGGGGAGGCUUGGCACCUCGAUGUCGGCUCAUCGCAUCCUGGGGCUGUAGUCGGUCCCAAGGGUUGGGCUGUUCGCCCAUUAAAGCGGUACGCGAGCUGGGUUCAGAACGUCGUGAGACAGUUCGGUCCCUAUCCGUCGUGGGCGUAGGAAAUUUGAGAGGAGCUGUCCUUAGUACGAGAGGACCGGGAUGGACAUACCUCUGGUGUACCAGUUGUCGUGCCAACGGCAUAGCUGGGUAGCUAUGUGUGGACGGGAUAAGUGCUGAAAGCAUCUAAGCAUGAAGCCCCCCUCAAGAUGAGAUUUCCCAACUUCGGUUAUAAGAUCCCUCAAAGAUGAUGAGGUUAAUAGGUUCGAGGUGGAAGCAUGGUGACAUGUGGAGCUGACGAAUACUAAUCGAUCGAAGACUUAAUCAAAUU